AGGAUGAACGCUGGCGGCGCGCUUAAUACAUGCAAGUCGAGCGACGAAACGAGAACCCGUAAGGGUUUUCGCUGAAAGCGGCGAACGGGUGAGUAACACGUGGGUAACGUGCCCUUGUCUCUGGGAUAACAACGGGAAACCGUUGCUAAUACCGGAUAAUGCAUCUCUUCCGCAUGGUUGAGCUGCCAAAGUUUUUCGGACAAGGAUCGGCCCGCGGCGUAUCAGCUUGUUGGUGGGGUAACGGCCUACCAAGGCAGUGACGCGUAGCUGGCGUGAGAGCGUGGCCAGCCACACUGGGACUGAGACACGGCCCAGACUCCUACGGGAGCAGCAGUAGGGAAUCUUGCGCAAUGGGCGGAAGCCUGACGCAGCGACGCCGCGUGAGGGAUGAAUGCCUUGGUGUAAACCUCUUCAGCAGGACGAAGCGAAGUGACGUACUGCAGAAGAACGCCCCCGGACUAACGUACGUGCCAGCACGCCGC
This 482-nucleotide ribosomal RNA is filed under the name uncultured soil bacterium. RNAcentral's name for it is "bacterial SSU rRNA". It matches the Rfam family "Bacterial small subunit ribosomal RNA", at positions 26 to 518 of the family's 1533-position model. The record is from RNAcentral.